UUCGGUUCAAACCGAAUGCUCACCCCUAAUUGUAGCAGCACUGCUAAGCUCAUUUUAGUUUACCUGUUUUUCUUUUGCACAAUGUUUCCUGUUACCUAACAACUUCUUUUUGUUGAAUGGUAAGCUGUGCUUAUUAUUGUUGAAGUAAUUAUCGUUUUUUCUAAAUUCUACAACAAAUUAGUUUAUCAACCUAAUGGAGCUGCA
This 204-nucleotide unclassified non-coding RNA is filed under the name Hevea brasiliensis (rubber tree). The record is from RNAcentral. Lineage: Eukaryota; Viridiplantae; Streptophyta; Magnoliopsida; Malpighiales; Euphorbiaceae.